This 377-nucleotide ribosomal RNA is filed under the name uncultured organism. Its description in RNAcentral is "partial 16S ribosomal RNA". It matches the Rfam family "Bacterial small subunit ribosomal RNA", at positions 527 to 896 of the family's 1533-position model. The record is from RNAcentral.
GUAGGUGGCAAGCGUUGUCCGGAAUUAUUGGGCGUAAAGCGCGCGCAGGCGGUCCUUUAAGUCUGAUGUGAAAGCCCACGGCUCAACCGUGGAGGGUCAUUGGAAACUGGGGGACUUGAGUACAGAAGAGGAAAGCGGAAUUCCAAGUGUAGCGGUGAAAUGCGUAGAGAUUUGGAGGAACACCAGUGGCGAAGGCGGCUUUCUGGUCUGUAACUGACGCUGAGGCGCGAAAGCGUGGGGGGUCAAACAGGAUUAGAUACCCUGGUAGUCCACGCCGUAAACGAUGAGUGCUAAGUGUUAGGGGGUUUUCCCGCCCCCCUUAGUGCUGCAGCUAACGCAUUAAGCACUCCGCCUGGGGGAGUACGGCCGCAAGGCUG